Molecule: transfer RNA, 92 nt
Filed under: Verrucomicrobiota bacterium
Lineage: Bacteria; Pseudomonadati; Verrucomicrobiota
Also listed under: 2 other names
Description: tRNA-Ser
Rfam family: tRNA
About the family: Transfer RNA (tRNA) molecules are approximately 80 nucleotides in length. Their secondary structure includes four short double-helical elements and three loops (D, anti-codon, and T loops).
Source: RNAcentral
GGAGAGGUGUCUGAGUGGUUUAAAGAGCACGCUUGGAAAGCGUGUGUGCGCUUUACGGUGCACCGGGAGUUCGAAUCUCCCCCUCUCCGCCA